GCCGGAAUACCUCAGUUGGUAAA
Molecule: transfer RNA, 23 nt
Filed under: Cryptolophocolea pallidovirens
Lineage: Eukaryota; Viridiplantae; Streptophyta; Jungermanniopsida; Jungermanniales; Lophocoleaceae
Description: partial tRNA-Phe
Source: RNAcentral